This is a long non-coding RNA of Spinacia oleracea (spinach), 1346 nucleotides long. RefSeq lists it as uncharacterized. The record is from RefSeq and is a predicted model, not a curated record. The transcript is spliced from 7 exons. Lineage: Eukaryota; Viridiplantae; Streptophyta; Magnoliopsida; Caryophyllales; Amaranthaceae.
UUUGUAUUUUCAAUUAAAUUUCUAAUUAAAUUGUAUUUGAAUUAUUUUGUGCAAUUAUGUUUUAUACUUUGUAAAUAUAAAUUCAAGAAUCGAGAGCCUUGUGCACUGCGAUUGUAGGUUGAUUUGAUUCAGGGGAUUGGAAGAUAACCAACUUGGAGUACCUCUGCGCAAGAGCCUUGGGGAUUUGAUUAACUUGAGAACCUUAGUACUUGCUGUAAGCGUUCUUCUGGCUAUAAUAUGGGCAAAUUCUAGAUCACUUCUUUUAGCAGUUGGUCAAGAUGAUCAAAUUGCAGCUCAAGCCGGACACUAUGCUGAAUUCGUGAUCCCUGGUCUCUUUUCUUAUGGUCUUCUUUACUCACUUCAGAGAUUCUUACAAACCCAGAACAUCGUUUUCCCUAUGAUGAUAACUGCAGGGAUCACUACACUACUGCAUUUGCCAGUUUGCUGGACUUUGGUCUUCAAAUGUGGUCUUGGAAACUGAGGAGUUUCCCUUGCAACUGGUGUAUCUUAUUGGAUUAAUGUAAUAUUGUUAGCACUUUAUGUUAAGUUUUCAUAAGAAACAUUCAAUGUGAGCUGACGUUCCAAGAUAAUUAAGCAAAUGGGAUUAUACCAUCUGACUGCUGGUCCUCUUUUAUUUGCAGUCUCCACACAGCUGCACUUGUGUGGAUGAUCCCCUUUGGUCUUAGUGGUGCUGUCAGUACUGCAGUUUGAUACCGUUCCAUCAACUCAUACAGCUUCUCAUUCGAGUGACAGAUCGAAGGAGAUUGAUCAUAAGACUCUACGAAGGCUUGCUCAGAACCGUGAGGCAGCAAGGAAAAGCCGGUUGAGGAAAAAAUUGGACUGGCAAAUGCAAUGAUGAAACACUGCAAGAGUGUGGACGGAUUGGAGGAUGUUGUUGACAUUGUCGGUACCGGUGGUGAUGGAGCAAACACUGUAAAUAUCUCUACCGGCGCCUCUAUAUUGGCCGCCGCUUGUGGUGCCAAAGUAGCCAAGCAAGGGACCAGAUCAAGCUGUACUAAGGUUGUUUCAAUUCUGCAGAACGGUGCGCGGUGCAUGCUUUCCAAUUGACUAAAGGUCUAUACUCUGAGGAAUGCGGCUUAAGCUAGUGAGGAAAUUGAUGUGGUUCGUGAGCAAUGGGCUAAGUUUUUUACCAGCAAAUAUUAAUUAUUGGCCUGAUCGCGCUUGAUCGAGUUGGUUUAGAUGUUAUAGACCAAUCUUUUAUAUUAAAAUGUAUGCGUACAAUGAAAUUGGAACAUAUAUUUAAAUGUACGUGCACUUUGGUUUCAUGUAUACAAAACAACAAUUAUUGUUUUUAUAUUUGUUAUACAGGUUGCGAUAUUUUAUUA